UACAGGGGGGGCAAGCGUUGUUCGGAAUUACUGGGCGUAAAGGGCUCGUAGGCGGCCAACUAAGUCGGAUGUGAAAUCCCUCGGCUCAACCGGGGAACUGCGUCUGAUACUGGGUGGCUUGAAUCCGGGAGAGGGAUGCGGAAUUCCAGGUGUAGCGGUGAAAUGCGUAGAUAUCUGGAGGAACACCGGUGGCGAAGGCGGCAUCCUGGACCGGCAUUGACGCUGAGGCGCGAAAGCGUGGGGAGCGAACAGG
This 253-nucleotide ribosomal RNA is filed under the name uncultured bacterium. RNAcentral's name for it is "partial 16S ribosomal RNA". It matches the Rfam family "Bacterial small subunit ribosomal RNA", at positions 524 to 776 of the family's 1533-position model. The record is from RNAcentral.